UAAUACGUAGGGCGCAAGCGUUGUCCGGAUUCACUGGGUGUAAAGGGUGCGCAGGCGGGAAAGUAAGUUAGAGGUGAAAUCUCACAGCUCAACUGUGAAACGGCCUUUGAUACUGCUUUUCUUGAGUUAGGGAGAGGUUGAUGGAAUUCCAGGUGUAGCGGUGAAAUGCGUAGAUAUCUGGAAGAACACCGGUGGCGAAGGCGGUCAACUGGCCCUAAACUGACGCUCAGGCACGAAAGCGUGGGGAUCAAACAGGAUUAGAUACCCUGGUAGUCCACGCCCUAAACGAUGAAUACUUGGUGUUGGCCUUUUUUGGUCAGUGCCGAAGGUAACCUGAUAAGUAUUCCACCUGGGGAGUACGCUCGCAAGGGUG
This 373-nucleotide ribosomal RNA is filed under the name uncultured bacterium. RNAcentral's name for it is "bacterial SSU rRNA". It matches the Rfam family "Bacterial small subunit ribosomal RNA", at positions 521 to 896 of the family's 1533-position model. The record is from RNAcentral.